RNAcentral lists this ribosomal RNA (253 nucleotides) under uncultured bacterium. RNAcentral's name for it is "partial 16S ribosomal RNA". It matches the Rfam family "Bacterial small subunit ribosomal RNA", at positions 524 to 776 of the family's 1533-position model. The record is from RNAcentral.
UACGAAGGGUGCAAGCGUUAAUCGGAAUUACUGGGCGUAAAGCGUGUGUAGGCGGUUUCUUAAGUCUGCUGUGAAAUCCCCGGGCUCAACCUGGGAAUGGCAGUGGAUACUGGGAAGCUAGAGUGUGAUAGAGGAUGGUGGAAUUCCCGGUGUAGCGGUGAAAUGCGUAGAGAUCGGGAGGAACAUCAGUGGCGAAGGCGGCCAUCUGGAUCAACACUGACGCUGAGACACGAAAGCGUGGGGAGCAAACAGG